GAGAUCUUAGCUUAGUUAAAGCGUCUGAGUUGCAGUUAGAAGAGGUGGUUAAAGCUCUACAGAUCUUC
This 68-nucleotide transfer RNA is filed under the name Lepidophyma flavimaculatum (yellow-spotted night lizard). Its description in RNAcentral is "tRNA-Ala". The record is from RNAcentral. Lineage: Eukaryota; Metazoa; Chordata; Lepidosauria; Squamata; Xantusiidae.